UACGUAGGGUGCGAGCGUUAAUCGGAAUUACUGGGCGUAAAGCGUGCGCAGGCGGUUGUGCAAGACCGAUGUGAAAUCCCCGGGCUUAACCUGGGAAUGGCAUUGGUGACUGCACGGCUAGAGUGUGUCAGAGGGGGGUAGAAUUCCACGUGUAGCAGUGAAAUGCGCAGAUAUCAGGAAGAACACCCGUGGCGAAGGCGGCUCUCUGGAACGCAACUGACGCUGAGACGCGAAAGCGUGGGGAGCAAACAGG
This 253-nucleotide ribosomal RNA is filed under the name uncultured bacterium. RNAcentral's name for it is "partial 16S ribosomal RNA". It matches the Rfam family "Bacterial small subunit ribosomal RNA", at positions 524 to 776 of the family's 1533-position model. The record is from RNAcentral.